Molecule: ribosomal RNA, 522 nt
Filed under: uncultured bacterium
Lineage: Bacteria
Description: bacterial SSU rRNA
Rfam family: Bacterial small subunit ribosomal RNA
Source: RNAcentral
ACAAUGGGGGCAACCCUGAUCCAGCAAUGCCGCGUGCAGGAAGAAGGCCUUCGGGUUGUAAACUGCUUUUGUACGGAACGAAACAGUCUGGGUUAAUACCCUGGGCUAAUGACGGUACCGUAAGAAUAAGCACCGGCUAACUACGUGCCAGCAGCCGCGGUAAUACGUAGGGUGCGAGCGUUAAUCGGAAUUACUGGGCGUAAAGCGUGCGCAGGCGGUUUUGUAAGACAGAGGUGAAAUCCCCGGGCUCAACCUGGGAACUGCCUUUGUGACUGCAAGGCUAGAGUACGGCAGAGGGGGAUGGAAUUCCGCGUGUAGCAGUGAAAUGCGUAGAUAUGCGGAGGAACACCGAUGGCGAAGGCAAUCCCCUGGGCCUGUACUGACGCUCAUGCACGAAAGCGUGGGGAGCAAACAGGAUUAGAUACCCUGGUAGUCCACGCCCUAAACGAUGUCAACUGGUUGUUGGGUCUUAACUGACUCAGUAACGAAGCUAACGCGUGAAGUUGACCGCCUGGGGAGUAC